GUGUCAGCAGCCGCGGUAAUACGUAGGGUGCAAGCGUUGUCCGGAAUUAUUGGGCGUAAAGAGCUCGUAGGCGGUUCGUCGCGUCGGCUGUGAAAUCCCGGAGCUCAACUCCGGGCCUGCAGUCGAUACGGGCGGACUUGAGUUCGGCAGGGGAGACUGGAAUUCCUGGUGUAGCGGUGAAAUGCGCAGAUAUCAGGAGGAACACCGGUGGCGAAGGCGGGUCUCUGGGCCGAAACUGACGCUGAGGAGCGAAAGCGUGGGGAGCGAACAGGAUUAGAUACCCUGGUAGUCCACGCCGUAAACGUUGGGCGCUAGGUGUGGGGGCCAUUCCACGGUCUCCGUGCCGCAGCUAACGCAUUAAGCGCCCCGCCUGGGGAGUACGGCCGCAAGGCUAAAACUCAAAGGAAUUGACGGGG
This 416-nucleotide ribosomal RNA is filed under the name uncultured prokaryote. Its description in RNAcentral is "bacterial SSU rRNA". It matches the Rfam family "Bacterial small subunit ribosomal RNA", at positions 505 to 918 of the family's 1533-position model. The record is from RNAcentral.